Long non-coding RNA from Hyaena hyaena (striped hyena), 1500 nucleotides. RefSeq lists it as uncharacterized. Lineage: Eukaryota; Metazoa; Chordata; Mammalia; Carnivora; Hyaenidae. The transcript is spliced from 2 exons. The record is from RefSeq and is a predicted model, not a curated record.
CAGAGGCAGGAGAAGUGUCCCCUCCAGUCGGUGCUGGUGUCAACAGCAACAGCUGGACCUUUAAAUAUGGACCAGGCAACCCCAAACAAUCUGGUCCCGAACCUAAAAAGCAGACCCAAGUUUCCUUUCUCCUCCGCCGCAAAGGAGAGGCUUCCCAGCCCCGCCAGUGAGAGGUUGGACUCUCUGCCCUGUGCUCCGGGGAUCCUGUCUUGAUGACAUUUGCAGGGCAGGCUCAAAGGUUUUGAGAUUGAGCAGCUUGGGUGUCUGUGGCCACUGGGUUUGUGUGGUCACCGGGGUGCGUGAGUGCCAGACGUCAUCGGCUGGGAUGGGCCAGAUGAGACUAGUUGGUGCAAGGAGGGCUGGGAAACAAAGACAAAGAAACAGUGGGAGUUGCCAAUCCAGGGGGACCGUGAAAAUAAAAGGGACCAGACUUUCUAAAUCUUAAAACUCAAGAGGCAGUGGCCACCCUCUCGCAGACAAAACCAGACAAAACCACCCCCGCUGACAAGGCUGUGGGCUGUGGUGUCUUUAUCCCUAAAACCUGCAUUCCACCUACAAGCCAACAGUUCAGUGUUGAACGGGGGCCAACCAGGGCACCAGAGGCAGAUCUGAUGUGUUUGCGUGCGUCCUUGUGCUCACUUUAUUAAAAAUUCUUUUGCACACAAUGUCUAUGAAAAGGCGAGAUCCUUUUCCAACACAUAUGCAAAAGCAGAAGCAAAAGAAAACCCCAACACCUCACUUUAUGCUCUUUGUUGUUUGAUAGAUUUAUUUAAAAAAGAGAAACUCUAUGACUAUAAAUCUUUAAAGAGAAAUAUGAUGAGUCCCCCUCAACUCCUCAAAAGAGAAUCCAGUCUACAGCCAUUUAAAUGAUCAUUGCUGCUACAGAAGUGCUUUAAGAGAAUUGCCUGAAACAUCUGUAUUAUACUGGCCACCUGCCACUCACAGCUUUACUCUUUCAGGUCACUCUGGGGCUGCCUCUUGCAUGUAUUAAUUACUAAAUAAAAGGAUCUUUCUCUCUCUCUUUUCUAAGAAACAAGUAUGUGCACUUUGAAUACACAACCUUCUCUAGCCAACUAUAUCAAGACCCCAAAAUUGAAGAAAAAUUAUUUUCUCAUACACACAGUGAGCCGACUUUUCAAUCCUCGAAUUCUGUGAUUUGUCUUGGUGUGCCAGCCCACACCGUCUCUUUGGUUUAGUUUUCCUUUUUUAGAACACUCUGAAUUGCUAAUCUUGCUGACACCUAUGAUGUUACCUGAAAUCAAUCUCCCAUAUGUAUGCUGUAUGCUAUUAUAAGACUCCUGAAAUAUACUUACUCUGUGCUUGUGUAUGUGAAUGUUAAUGCAACUAUUACCUAGAGUGAACUUUAAGCUUUAUUGUUGAAUGUAAUUCCAUUAUAUUUCCUUUUGUACACCUGUGAAAAAGUGGAGUAGUGUUUUUUUUAACCAUUGUUAAUCAGCUUUUGUGUAUGAAAGACACAGUAAAAUUUCUUUCUUAAAUCAA